RNAcentral lists this ribosomal RNA (292 nucleotides) under uncultured bacterium. RNAcentral describes it as "partial 16S ribosomal RNA". It matches the Rfam family "Bacterial small subunit ribosomal RNA", at positions 505 to 796 of the family's 1533-position model. The record is from RNAcentral.
GUGUCAGCAGCCGCGGUAAUACGAAGGGGGCUAGCGUUGUUCGGAUUUACUGGGCGUAAAGCGCGCGUAGGCGGGUCACUAAGUCAGGGGUGAAAUCCCGAGGCUUAACCUCGGAACUGCCUUUGAUACUGGUGACCUGGAGAUCGGGAGAGGUUGGUGGAAUUCCGAGUGUAGAGGUGAAAUUCGUAGAUAUUCGGAGGAACACCAGAAGCGAAGGCGGCCAACUGGCCCGAUACUGACGCUGAGGCGCGAAAGCGUGGGGAGCAAACAGGAUUAGAAACCCCCGUAGUCC